GGAGGGAUCAUUAACACAAAAAAUAAAACCAAAUUUUCUCUUUUUUGAUUUCUCUCGAAAGGGAGGAUGAAAGAAAGGGGAAAGGAGAUGGGUUUACUCCAGUCUCCAAACAACCUUGAAGCGUUAAAGUCUUAUGUAACCUCAUCUAGUGGGUUUCAUGUUCACUUUUGGGGCGACACAAAACUAUUUUUACCUUUAAACUCUGUGAGAGAAAAAACGAGGGUGCUUUUUUGAGGGGAGUCUCUCCCUUCCUUUAAUCCACUCAAGUAAAAAAAUUAUAAUUAGAGAACAACUUUUAACAACGGAUAUCUUGGUUCUCGCAACGAUGACGAGCGCAGCGAAAUGCGAUACUUAGUGUGAAUUGCAGAAUUCAGUGAAUCAUCGAGACCUUGAACGCAAAUUGCACCUGCAAGUUCUCUUGCAGGUACAUCUGUUUGAGUGUCGACUACCAAUCACCCAAAAACAAAUGAGAGUUUGUUCGAGGGAGGAAGUGGGUGUCUAAUAAUUUUCUUAUUAGUCGCUUGAAAUAUAGCAAAAUCGAAAGAAAUUCCCGUCAGGAAGAAGUGUCCAUCCACUGAUUUCGAAAACGGUGUAGUAACGAAAAGACGUUUCUGUGGAAACUUUUUUUGAGAAUCAUCGGGAGUAAAAGUUGGGUUUUAAAGGUGAGAGGGUUCUUUAGACUAUUUCUUACGAUUAAAAAGAUGAAAUAAAAAGUCAGCUUAUAAGCUACGGGAGAGAGGCACUACGUGUCACUUUUUCAUAGUGAAAAACUUCGACCUCAAAUCAGAUGAGAACACCCGCUGAACUUAAGCAUAUUAAUAAGCGGAGGAAAAGAAACUAACAAGGAUUCCCCCAGUAACUGCGAGUGAAGUGGGAAAAGCUCAAGCUUAAAAUCCGGGGCAGUCUAUGUCUCUGAAUUGUAGUUUUGUGAACGGUUUCACGGGUAAACUGCUGUAGUAUAAGUCCUCUGGAACGAGGUGCCAAAGAAGGUGAUAGCCCUGUGCAUGACUACAGUGUCCAUGGUUUGCCAAUACGUGUUGCUAGUUCGAAGAGUCGGGUUGUUUGGGAGUACAGCCCAAAGUGGGAGGUAAAUUCCUUCUAAAGCUAAAUAAUGGCGAGAGACCGAUAGCGAACAAGUACCGUGAGGGAAAGAUGCAAAGAACUUUGAAAAGAGAGUUAAAAGUGCUUGAAAUUGUUAAAAGUGAAGCGAUUGGAAGCAGUACAUGUCGGCUAUCAACUCAUUCAUUUAUGUAGUGUUGGUGUGGUAUCGUCGAGUGGUCCUUCGCGAUCAUCGCGGUGUUAUAUCCUGGCAUUGCAUGAGUGGAGCAUUUUGGUGGUUCGAUGAGUCAAUAUCAGUGAGUGAAGUGGGAGAAUGGCUUGGAGGAGGUGAUACGUCUGUAGUUCUCGGAUUAUUGAUGUGUGUUAGACUCUGGGUAAAUACCAUUUCGCUGACUGAGGCAACUUAUGGUUGAUAACUGGCGCCUUCUUGGCGGGGUAAAAGUGGGACUGUGUUGUGUUGGCGGUGAGGACAGCAUGCUGUGCUUGUUGCCCAAUGUGAUGCAUGGCCUACUUACCACUAGCUAGUUAGAGAUAUUGACCGAAUGUUUCCAAUCGUCCCGUCUUGAAACACGGACCAAGGAGUCUAACAUAUGUGCGAGUGAAUGAGUGACAAACUUAUACGCGUAAUGAAAGUGAGAGGUGGGAGUUGUAAAAAACGCACCAUCGACCAAUCUUGAUAUUUUUGGAUGGAUUUGAGUUGGAGCAUAUAUGUUGGGACCCGAAAGAUUGCGAACUAUGCUUGCAUAGGGUGAAGCCAGGCGAAAGUCUGGUGGAGGCUCGUAGCGAUACUGACGUGCAAAUCGUUCGUCAAAUGUGGGUAUAGCGGCGAAAGACUAAUCGAGCAAUCUAGUAGCUGGUUUCCUC
Molecule: unclassified non-coding RNA, 1923 nt
Filed under: uncultured fungus
Lineage: Eukaryota; Fungi
Description: sequence contains 18S rRNA gene, ITS1, 5.8S rRNA gene, ITS2, 28S rRNA gene
Rfam family: Eukaryotic large subunit ribosomal RNA (bases 774-1923)
Source: RNAcentral